Molecule: ribosomal RNA, 481 nt
Filed under: uncultured bacterium
Lineage: Bacteria
Description: partial 16S ribosomal RNA
Rfam family: Bacterial small subunit ribosomal RNA
Source: RNAcentral
GAUGAACGCUGGCGGCGUGCCUAACACAUGCAAGUCGAACGGAGAUUACGGACGGAAGUUUUCGGAUGGAAGCCUGUAAUUCUUAGUGGCGGACGGGUGAGUAACGCGUGGGCAACCUGCCCUAUACAGGGGGAUAGCAGCUGGAAACGGCUGGUAAGACCGCAUAAGUCGGUUAAAUCGCAUGAUUUGAUCGGGAAAUGAGCAAUCAGGUAUAGGAUGGGCCCGCGUCCGAUUAGUCAGUUGGCAGGGUAAAAGCCUACCAAAGCGACGAUCGGUAGCCGGACUGAGAGGUCGGACGGCCACAUUGGGACUGAGACACGGCCCAAACUCCUACGGGAGGCAGCAGUGGGGGAUAUUGCACAAUGGAGGAAACUCUGAUGCAGCGACGCCGCGUGAGUGAAGAAGUAUUUCGGUAUGUAAAGCUCUAUCAGCAGGGAAGAUGAUGACGGUACCUGACUAAGAAGCCCCGGCUAACUACGUG